Molecule: ribosomal RNA, 475 nt
Filed under: uncultured bacterium
Lineage: Bacteria
Description: SSU rRNA
Rfam family: Bacterial small subunit ribosomal RNA
Source: RNAcentral
AGGACGAACGCUGGCGGCGUGCUUAACACAUGCAAGUCGAGCGGAAAGGCCCUUCGGGGUACUCGAGCGGCGAACGGGUGAGUAACACGUGAGCAACCUGCCCUCAGCUCUGGGAUAGCUCCGGGAAACCGGAUUAAUACCGGAUAUGACCCUGACUGACAUCGGUCAGGGUGGAAAGGAUUCCGGCUGAGGAUGGACUCGCGGCCUAUCAGCUAGUUGGUGGAGUAACGGCCCACCAAGGCGACGACGGGUAGCCGGCCUGAGAGGGCGACCGGCCACACUGGGACUGAGACACGGCCCAGACUCCUGCGGGAGGCAGCAGUGGGGAAUAUUGCGCAAUGGGCGAAAGCCUGACGCAGCGACGCCGCGUGGGGGAUGAAUGCCUUCGGGUUGUAACCCUUUCAGCAGGGACGAAGCGAGAGUGACGGUACCUGCAGAGAAGCGCCGGCUAACUACGUGCCAGCAGCCGCGGUAA